This is a long non-coding RNA of Alosa alosa (allis shad), 428 nucleotides long. RefSeq lists it as uncharacterized. NCBI's taxonomy places the organism in Eukaryota, Metazoa, Chordata, Actinopteri, Clupeiformes, Clupeidae. The record is from RefSeq and is a predicted model, not a curated record. The transcript is spliced from 3 exons.
GACAGUGGAAACUACAGCUGUCAGGCCACUAACACCUAUGGUUCCAAUACAUCUCCUAAUACAGAAAUACAUGUUUUAUAUGGUGCAAGGACUCCAGUGAUUAUCAUUGACCCUCCUGGUAACAUAGCUGAGGGAAGCAGAGUGACUCUGACCUGCAGCAGUGAUGCCAACCCACCAGUGGAGAGCUACACCUGGUUUAAGGUGAAUGAGUCCACUGCAGUAGGAUCAGGACAGCAGUACAGCAUCACUAACAUCAGCUCUGAGGAUGGAGGACAGUACUACUGUGAGGCCAGGAACAAAUAUGGAGCUGAGAACUCAACUACUGUGUCCAUCACUGUUACAAGUUGGCAGAGCCCUCUCUCCACUGCUGUGAUAACAGUCUCUGUCUGUGGAGCUGUGGGACUCCUCUGUUUGGUUUUCUUAAUGAG